CCUGUAGCGACUGCGGAGACAUUA
Molecule: ribosomal RNA, 24 nt
Filed under: Ramaria cf. gracilis AGK 032
Lineage: Eukaryota; Fungi; Basidiomycota; Agaricomycetes; Gomphales; Gomphaceae
Description: partial 18S ribosomal RNA
Source: RNAcentral